GGUGAUCCAGUGGGUGGAGUGUUUUGUCUGUAUUUCCAGCAGACAUUGAUGACUGUUCUUACACCUUCUGUCUCUCUAAGACGGCAUAAAACAGAGAGCAGACUAGGUAGCUUGACUGGAUGGUCUGCUUGUUUCCUGUGAAAAUGCAAAUGGUUCCAAUUGGACUGGCACACCAGGAGAAUACUUAAUUCAAUUUAUAAUCGAAAACCCAGUGCCAACCCUGGAUUUUGACUGAUUUUAUUUGAUUUUACAUAUAAAUCAUGCAUGCUCAUCAUCAUGAAAGCAAUGUGACUUUUUAAAAAAUUCUGAAAUCCCACUUUAAAUCUCCCUAAUGUUGCUUUUUAACAUAACUCCUUCCCCCACCAAUUCUCUUUGCAUUUCAGCAUACAUUGUAUGUUGUCUCUAUGGCUGCUGCUUCCAGGUUGUUGUUCCUACUGGACCACCGGCACAUGCACAAUUCAUAUAAUGUUGUCUCUGAUGACAUCAGUGCCUAUUCCCGUGCAUAUAGUAUUAUAGCAUGGACAAGUUUCUUAAAGCGGGACUGUCACUUCCCAGGAAUUUUAAUUAUCAUGUUUACUUAGCCCCUAUCUUUAACAAUUUUAUAUUUGUGAGGUGUGAAAAAUAAAAUUAAAUGUAAAAAUCCACACCUGCUUAUCUUGGAACUGGGUGCCCCAUCUUAGCCUUUGGGUAAUCAUCGUUAUAAGCUCUGUCCAUCGCAUCUGUAACUAAAGAGAAAGCAUAUAGAGAAGGGUUUUAUUUCUCCUCCUCAUUUGCAAUAUUUGCCCUGGCUGUUCCUAGACUGAAAAAAUAAAUACAUGUUUGCAUAAGUGAUUUUCAAUGUUUUUCUCUUUGGUAUAAUUUCUACUGUUCCCCAUUAGUCUGUGUCUAUGUACUUAUGCACAUACGACUCUUUAGUGCAAUGACAUCAGCAGC
Molecule: non-coding RNA, 933 nt
Organism: Pelobates cultripes (western spadefoot toad)
Lineage: Eukaryota; Metazoa; Chordata; Amphibia; Anura; Pelobatidae
Source: the annotation of a GenBank genome assembly